UACGAGGGGUGCAAGCGUUAUUCGGAAUUAUUGGGCGUAAAGGGCGCGUAGGCGGUUUGUUAAGUUUGUUGUUAAAUCCUCUGGCUUAACUAGAGAUAAGCGAUAAAAACUGGCAAUCUAGAGCGUGAGAGAGAGAAGUGGAAUUCCCGGAGUAGCGGUAAAAUGCGUAGAUCUCGGGAGGAACACCAAUGGCGAAGGCUGCUUCUUGGCUCAUUGCUGACGCUGAGGCGCGAAAGCGUGGGGAGCAAACAGG
This 253-nucleotide ribosomal RNA is filed under the name uncultured bacterium. RNAcentral's name for it is "partial 16S ribosomal RNA". It matches the Rfam family "Bacterial small subunit ribosomal RNA", at positions 524 to 776 of the family's 1533-position model. The record is from RNAcentral.